This 405-nucleotide ribosomal RNA is filed under the name uncultured rumen bacterium. RNAcentral describes it as "bacterial SSU rRNA". It matches the Rfam family "Bacterial small subunit ribosomal RNA", at positions 354 to 776 of the family's 1533-position model. The record is from RNAcentral.
GUGGGGAAUAUUGCACAAUGGGGGAAACCCUGAUGCAGCGACGCCGCGUGAGUGAAGAAGUAUUUCGGUAUGUAAAGCUCUAUCAGCAAGGAAGAAAAUGACGGUACUUGACUAAGAAGCCCCGGCUAACUACGUGCCAGCAGCCGCGGUAAUACGUAGGGGGCAAGCGUUAUCCGGAUUUACUGGGUGUAAAGGGAGCGUAGACGGCAUGGCAAGUCUGAAGUGAAAGGCUGGGGCUCAACCCCGGGACUGCUUUGGAAACUGUUAAGCUAGAGUGCAGGAGAGGUAAGUGGAAUUCCUAGUGUAGCGGUGAAAUGCGUAGAUAUUAGGAGGAACACCGGUGGCGAAGGCGGCUUACUGGACUGUAACUGACGUUGAGGCUCGAAAGCGUGGGGAGCAAACAGG